RNAcentral lists this small RNA (129 nucleotides) under Kallipyga massiliensis. Its description in RNAcentral is "Streptococcus sRNA SpR18". It matches the Rfam family "Streptococcus sRNA SpR18". Lineage: Bacteria; Bacillati; Bacillota; Tissierellia. The record is from RNAcentral.
UCAAAGGUUACAGAAGAUGAAAAACUGUAACUGAGAUUAAAAUGGGAACAUUUGUAAAAAAGAAUAAACUGAAUAAUAGUUCCAAGUGGUUUACAUGAGGACAAAAAACUAGACCGUAGUUUAAAGCUA